RNAcentral lists this transfer RNA (71 nucleotides) under Sporophila maximiliani (Great-billed seed-finch). RNAcentral's name for it is "tRNA-Gln". It matches the Rfam family "tRNA". Rfam says of the family: Transfer RNA (tRNA) molecules are approximately 80 nucleotides in length. Their secondary structure includes four short double-helical elements and three loops (D, anti-codon, and T loops). Further hydrogen bonds mediate the characteristic L-shaped molecular structure. tRNAs have two regions of fundamental functional importance: the anti-codon, which is responsible for specific mRNA codon recognition, and the 3' end, to which the tRNAs corresponding amino acid is attached (by aminoacyl-tRNA synthetases). tRNAs cope with the degeneracy of the genetic code in two manners: having more than one tRNA (with a specific anti-codon) for a particular amino acid; and 'wobble' base-pairing, i.e. permitting non-standard base-pairing at the 3rd anti-codon position. The record is from RNAcentral. Lineage: Eukaryota; Metazoa; Chordata; Aves; Passeriformes; Thraupidae.
UAGAAAGUAAUAUAAAGGAAGUAUGGAGGGUUUUGAUUUCUCUAGUGCGGGUUCGAUUCCUGCCUUUCUAA